GGAAGGCAAUCGCAGCCGGUGCUGCGGCCGGGCUUCAAACCCGGUUGGGGGCGGCAGCCGCUCCUGGGUGAGUUCGACUCUCACUGCCUUCCGCCA
RNAcentral lists this transfer RNA (96 nucleotides) under Pseudomonas sp. Its description in RNAcentral is "tRNA-Sec". It matches the Rfam family "Selenocysteine transfer RNA". The record is from RNAcentral. Lineage: Bacteria; Pseudomonadati; Pseudomonadota; Gammaproteobacteria; Pseudomonadales; Pseudomonadaceae. RNAcentral also lists the same sequence under 10 other names.